This is an RNA transcript of Notolabrus celidotus (New Zealand spotty), 5475 nucleotides long. It is a transcript of the gene named transmembrane protein 269, with no coding region annotated. The record is from RefSeq and is a predicted model, not a curated record. The transcript has 7 exons. Lineage: Eukaryota; Metazoa; Chordata; Actinopteri; Labriformes; Labridae.
ACUCUUUAAAAGGGCGCACUGAAAUAGCUGCUGUGAAGCUGACAGGUAAACGCUCUCAUGUUCUGUUUGUUCUAUUUACUGCGUAGCAACUUUGAACACAUUAGCUAGAAAAGAGAACAAGAUUAAACCAAGACUGUGUGACAAACAGACAGAGUAGUAAGGUCUUGUGUGUACGUGCGCAUUCAGACGUCACCAUCACUGGAAUAAUCUAUAAUUUGUAGUCUUUGGAGGUCCCAACAGCUAUUGUAUACGAGCCUGAGACAAUCAUGAUCCUCCUCAGCCCUUCUUCUGGUAGGUUCUUGUUUCUCAAUCUCAUCUCAUAAUCUGGAUUAGUGUACAUCCAAAAAAGCAACGGGUGCCAGAGAUGGAAGCCAAGCUCUGCUGAGUUCUCAUUAGGCAGCAAAACGGCCACUAAUGGGCUGAAGGAGUCACGCUGAGAUGCUUGGACCAAAAAGAUUGGAUCAAUUAUUAAUGAUAGUGAUUAUUUAAUCAUUGAGCAUUCAGUGCAUGUUUGAAUAUUAUACAUUGAGUGCAGAUAUACAUCAAUAUUAAGAAAACAACAAUAUAAUGUUCACAUAGACGUAAUGCUUCCAGGAGACAAUUUGUACAGUGAACUUUGCUAAUGUGUGUAAGACUAUAAUACAGAUUGAUGACCGCACUAGGAAUGAAUGUUGCAUUGCUGGUGCGUACUGUUUAUAUAGUAUUUAGAGCUGUUUUUGUCUUUAAUAUUUUAUUUACCUUAACAUCAGGUGACACAAAUGUAGAUCAUUUGAAUUUUUCACAUAGUUAACUUGAAGUUAUUCCUGUUAUAUAUUAUUCUAUUUGUGUUUAGUGGUUACCAUACACAGCACAAAACAUUGCAGGGUGUUACAUAACAAGGGCCUUCCCAUCAUGCCUUGCACUCAGGCAGCAUUCCAGAAUUAGUGACCUGCUUGAAAUUGACAGUGUGUCCGGCUCUGGCUUUAUCCCCCUUUUUUUUUUUAUCAGAGACCAGACAAUUAAGUGGUCAGAGUAUUGAUCUGCAACCCCACAGACUUGGCAUAUAUGCUCUAUUAUGUCAUUCACUGUAACCAAAGCAAUCGCAUCACAGUAUUCAUCUAGAAAACUUUGUCUUGUCAAGUGAAAGGUCGACUGUAAUCUGCAUUCAGUCAUGUGUUUCUUUAACAGUGUAUCAGAUAAUACUUUGAAUGCCAGGUUGUAACAUGUGUGAAAGGCCAUAAAGAGAAGUAAAAAAAAAAAAAGCAUGCUGUCAAGUAAACCUGUAAGUUGUUGUUGGCUUUCUGCUGUGUCUCAUGCGCUGUUUUCUUUCAGAUGAAGAGUCUCUUGAACUCGCCUGGCUUUGGACUCACAGGAAGUUCAGGGUGAAAAAACACUUUGAGAGUUGCUAUACUGCAACAUUUAAAAACUAUAUUUAAAUUUUGCAGGCCGUUUUCACUUGUGCAUUCUGUCUUGGACAGUACUAUGACUUGAGAGAAAGUAAUGAACUCACAGGGAAGGAGGCAGACAGAAAACAAAGAUGUCUUUGUUUGGCUUCAUUAAAAAACAUCACAGCUUUGUGGGGGCUGGUGGGAGGCAAAGUCAGCAGACAUUCUAUUAUGCUGACUAAGAUUUAGCCUUCUAUUACACAUCUCUCUUUAAAAAAGUCACCAAACUUAACAAGUCAUAAUUUGCAGAUUGAAAAAAAAACACAUGACUCAAUUAAGUCAUCACUGUUUACAUGAUACAUUUGUAUUUUAAAUAACAGGAGAACCAGGGGAUAGGUUCAUUGAAUGCCAGCAUCUCCAUUAAGGUCGAGGCUGCAGUGGUAUUAUAGAUCUGAACAGUUAGAGUGCUGCUGCGUUUGAAAGGCUAAUUGAUCUCACGUCUGGUAUGUGUCACUGCUGUAGGUCCAACUCACUCUCACUAUAGCCAGUGGUGUUUUUGCUAGUCCCUUAUAGCUGCCUCCCCACAUUUGUGUUUAUGUCCCCCCCCUCUCCCCCCCCCUGAUAAGAUCACAAUUGAGUGCUAACAAUUCACAUACAUCUUUUCACACUGUCUCUCUUCCUAUUUGUAUGAUUAUUAAUUUUUACUGCAUGUUAUUGUGGCCGUUUUUUUUUCACAACAGCUAAAGAUAAAUGUCUAUGUUUGUUACAUAGUUAUAACUGAUAUUCUAAUGCUACAUAAUAAAGCACUCUAUGAUUUUGCAUGCUGUGAGCUGCGCACCUGUGAUUGCAUUAUGAAUGUACAGUAUCAAUGCAUUUUAGUGAUCUGAAAGUGGAUGAAUGUAUCGUAAGGUCGGUCUCGCUCCAAUAAACAUACGUCUUGGUAAGUGAUGCAUCUUUUACACAAGACGAAGAAACUAAUUAAAUAUGCUCUAAGAAUAGAGAUGAACAUAUUUAAGCAUACGUCACAUGAACCUCACUAUGGAUUCCAGCUACAUGAUAGAAUAAUAAGAUUUUUUCGAGAUUACUUUGACAUUUUCCCUCUCACACAAACUUAGUUUUGAUUCAGACUGACUGGGAUAAAAGCAAUUAACUCUUCCCAUCCAUCCAAAAGACCAGUGGCUUCGGUCUCCCUAGCAUAGUAGGGAUGUAGCAUUUAGCUUAAGCUUCUUUAACCACAGCAGAGGUGAUGGACCCAACACGAAUAUCUACUAACUGCAACUGUUGUCUGGUCUCAGGUUUCUUCCAGUGCACCAACAAGCUCUUUCUCAGUGAUCAGGCCACAGGACUCCAGAUCAAGGAGUUUGCACGUAAAAAUGCUGCUAAUGCUCUGUCUGUCGCCAACAUGGUCAUGGGCAUGGCCUCCAUUCUCAGCAGUCUGAACGGGCACCAUCAUGCUGCGUGUUGGCUGGUCCUGAUUGGCUACCUGCUUGACUUGGCAGAUGGAGCGGUUGCCAGGCGACUUGAUGCCUGCUCUGCACUGGAUGCCACAGUUCAGUGCAGGCUGUUGGCCAUGCAUAUUUCAUCAGCGAGUAUGAAGUGCAACAGGAGGGAGUAUGGACUAACUGCAACCAUGAUACGGUGCAAAGCUGGAUGAUUUUGCUGACUUUACAACCUUCGGAAUCGCAACAUCAUUGCUCCUGAGGACAUCCGACCUGCUGGAUAACAUCCUGUGCAUGUGUUACGUCCUGUCUGUGUUCGUGCGCCUCUGUUUCUUCACAAGUGGCAUUCCAUUCAUGUACCGUGGCCUGCCCUGCAUCUACUCCUCUGCCAUCCUGGCCAGUGCCUCUCUGCUGUCGGGCGGAAACCUGGCCUUGCUGCGGGUCAUUGCAGUGGCUAUGAUUCUCUUUAUGAUCAGUCAGAACUUCUACCCACAUGAUAGAGUGUUGGAAUCCCAGGCCUGGAAGAAAGUAGUCUAUGCUGGAGGGGUCAUCAUGGUGUUCUGCUCUUCCUUCCCCCCUGCAUGCGUGUACUACCUGCUGUGGUCCGUCUCCUACAUCUUAUUCCCAACAUCCCUUUGGAGCAGUAAAGUCUAAGAGGGAUGCUGUGUUUUUUUUUCAAAACCCCUAGCAAGUAUUUCCUCAGGUCCAUCAGGUCCAUCCAGAUAGACUGAGGCCUCAGACUGUCGCUGCUCCUCACUGCAAUGGAAGAUCCAAGCUGAAAAUGCUCAUGCCCCAGGAGAAAACUCUUGCUCUGUUUAACCCUCAUUUCGAUGUAACGCCUCUUAGAGAGUUAGAGUAAGGAAGGAGAGGGGCGCUUUUAAUGUCACUACUAAGGUUUAACCUCCAUGCUGUCUUUUGUAUCCAUCUCAUCCCAUCACUGAAGCUAGCACCUGGUUGGCUAGCUCUAAAAAAACAACUUUUCAUCAGGUUAAUCUCCUGUGUAAUCUCUUUUUCAUUAUUAAUCCAAUCUUACAUGAAUAUCAGGAGGCAUCAUGUUCUCACAGGAUGAUUUAAAAGGAGAAUCUCAGAUGAAUUAUUGAAUGGAUUUCCAAUCCAUUAGCUGCUUCAUUUGGGCUUUAAAUUACAUCAUUUGGUAAUCAUACACAAACAAACAGUCAAAUUAUGGUUAUAGUUUGAGUCCAACAAUUUGCAUGCAAGGCCUUCAAUCUAUGGCCAUACUACAGGAUUUCAUAACAGCAUACUCAACCUUAAACUUCCAUGAUACUUGUUACUAUAAUAAUGGUUAUACAACACUACAACCAGUCCUGUGUUAACUAACAACCUGUUAAUGUUUGUAACUGCGUCUGGGUCACCUCACUUCCAUAGCACGUAGGUCAGGAGGUUAGCUUCCUCAGAAUCUACUUUUUCCAUUUUGUAGGAGUUACAACUCCAGUAAGACCUAGUAGGAGGAAUUCAAAUGUGAUACAUCAGAUCAUGGAUGUGACUGCUAUUAUUGGAUUAUCAGUUUGAAUGUUUGAAAUAAGCUACAUUGAAAGUCAAAUUCUGGCUUCUGUAAAUAAGGGACUUUUGAUUUGUUUAGCUUUUAAGAUUGAUGCCUUUUUACCAAGUUGUCCAAGACCGUAUUUAAUAGAUUUUCAUAGAUCUUCUAUGUAUGAUUUUAUUCAGUCGUUCAAUGUGUUUGCCUCUGUUUUAAGAGGCAUUGCAGUAAGAACAGUAGGACAAAACUGGAUUAUAUCCUCAUAUUGUCACUUCUCAUAAUAUCUGCAGUCUGUGGCAUCGGUGAUUAAGGUGGAGUCAGAUGCAUCACAGGUGGAUGUUGCAACUUCUAAAUUGAACUGCAACACCAUUUUUUCCUUAUUUGAUUUAGCUUACAUUUGUUUUGAAGAACUGCAAAUUCCAGGCUGCACCCACACUGCAAAUAUUGAAUUUUUUGCCACCUUGUGAGUCGACAUGUCACCUCGCUGCAGGUUCUGCCUUCACCUUAAAUGUGUUGAAUAACAGUCAGUGUCUGCUGUGCUUACAAAUGCACUGGAACAGUACUUAGCAGCAGUGAAACCUAUAAAGGAAGGAUGGAGAGGAUUAAAGAGUGUUGUUGCACUUCAUCAUGGCCAGUAUUCACUUUUUUGUAGACCACCGCCUUUUUAAUAUGGACUCCUUUAUGGCACCACUCAUCUCGUGAUAAUGUAUAUAUACUUUUUUUUGGAAAGAUCUGCACUCGCUUUAAGCAAUAACUCAUAGUGUUAGAAGUUAACGAGUCAUCUAAACGAAUAUCCCUGUAAAGAGAAACUUUGUGAUGGAGCAGGAUUUCAUAGAGGAUGAAGAAUGACACAUUUCUGCUGGUUCUGAUACAAGUUCAAACCAGCUGUUCUGUGUGGUUUGUGAUAACCAGGGUUUAAAAGAAAAAUCCACAGCACAAAGUGAAGUUUAAAGACUGAACAUAAAUGUACUUUAGUCCAUUCAAUAGAGCAUUCAGCUUUCCUGUGUGGUUGUUUUGGUUUCAAAAGUCACAGUAAUGUACGCAUGCCAAGAGCAUUACAGGUUCAAACUGUGCUAUGACCAACGAUACAAGUAUGUUAACAUCUUAAUGAAGAAAAAGAGCUCUGCUAAUAGGUCUGUACAUUUUUGACAAUAAAGAAGUAAUAAUGAAAUAA